GACGUCCUACGGGAGGCAGCAGUGGGGGAUAUUGCACAAUGGGGGAAACCCUGAUGCAGCGACGCCGCGUGAGUGAAGAAGUAUUUCGGUAUGUAAAGCUCUAUCGGCAGGGAAGAAAAAAAUGACAGUACCUGACUAAGAAGCCCCGGCUAACUACGUGCCAGCAGCCGCGGUAAUACGUAGGGGGCAAGCGUUAUCCGGAUUUACUGGGUGUAAAGGGAGCGUAGACGGUUGUAUAAGUCUGGAGUGAAAGCCCGGGGCC
Molecule: ribosomal RNA, 262 nt
Filed under: uncultured bacterium
Lineage: Bacteria
Description: partial 16S ribosomal RNA
Rfam family: Bacterial small subunit ribosomal RNA
Source: RNAcentral